GGACAAAGCACUGGGCAAUGGAGACCACACAGAAAUGAUAGCUAUUGCAUCUCUGUUCUACUGAAGUCUCUGAGAGCGAUCCAGACUAUGACUCCAUCUUCAAAUUUCAAAGUUUCCCAGGCUGGAACUGAUGCAAAGCAAGUAAGGCAUUCUCAGUGAUGGACCAGUAAUUGCUUGUUUAUUUAUGCACCCCAAGUCUCUUUCUACC
RNAcentral lists this long non-coding RNA (208 nucleotides) under Mus spicilegus (steppe mouse). Its description in RNAcentral is "lncRNA (ENSMSIG00000016458.1)". The record is from RNAcentral. Lineage: Eukaryota; Metazoa; Chordata; Mammalia; Rodentia; Muridae.